This is a non-coding RNA of Pelobates cultripes (western spadefoot toad), 239 nucleotides long. NCBI's taxonomy places the organism in Eukaryota, Metazoa, Chordata, Amphibia, Anura, Pelobatidae. The record is from the annotation of a GenBank genome assembly.
GUGUGGAACUAACUGGCAUGAAUGACGCAAUUGGCCUCAUAAAAGUUGAUUAGAUUACAACUUGUAUUGUGUCUUUUGAUAGGUUAUAGUUAUCUUGAGAAUGCAGUGGAACAGUGAGAAAAUGGCAUCUGUCAUGUGCCAUAACUGAUAAAUGUGGCUUUGCUCUUUAGCAACUGUGAUGAUUGGCAGAAAUGGAGUCAGGAAAACAACAGCUUACUAAAACACAUACAACAUAUUUG